CUCUCGCGGCCAACUAAACUUUUUUUUAACAGCGCGCGCCGCCUAGAAUUUUGCUAAACUAUGCGAUGGGCGUAGCGAGCAUGCGGGUUUAGCAUUCCUCCCCGCUUUGUUUAAGAGGAAUAGUUGACAUUCCGGGCGUUUCGGUAUAGUUUUCUUGUAGGGCCUGCUGCGAAAUAUUGUUGAUUCCGUUCCAACUCUGCUUUGGGUUGACAUCUAUCUGCCUGGUUCUGCUCCUGCUUUGCGACCAGCAUUUACAGCGAGCAUUGCACACUCCACUUUUUCUGCAAGUUUUGGGUGCGGCUCCCCGAUAGCAGCAAUUUAAUUUUAUAUCCGGCAUUGCCGGCAUUGCAUUUUACAAUAUUUUUGCUGCUUCUACAUCGAUUUCAACAUCGGACACGGAGUAGGCAUGAGCGUAGACCAUCCCAAGUGAUACCAUCCUUGGAGCUACUUCAUUAGCCCAUUUCCCUUUUGACUGUCGUUUUUAUAGACCCAACAAAGUUUUGUUUUUAUAGACCCAACAAAGUUUUGUUUUUAUAUACCCAACCAAGUUUCUAAUAUAAUUCUUGUGUAAAUAUCUAAUAAUUUGUAUAUAUUGUCUCUAUUUGUAUUAUAAAUAAAACCAUUUCAUAUUUGUGAGACUACAGAAAGUUCGCUCUUCCCAAAUCAUUUUUUAGUGGAACCACUCGGACAUAAGGAGAGUGCCCCAUUUUAACAAACUAAAUUCCAUUUCCCUUUUGACUGUCGUUUUUUAUACACCCAACAAAGUUCUGUUUUUAUACACCCAACCAAGUUUCUAAUAUAAUUCUUGUGUAAAUAUCUAAUAAUUUGUAUAUAUUGUCUCUAUUUGUAUUAUAAAUAAAACCAUUUCAUAUUUGUGAGACUACAGAAA
Long non-coding RNA from Patiria miniata (bat star), 889 nucleotides. RefSeq lists it as uncharacterized. Lineage: Eukaryota; Metazoa; Echinodermata; Asteroidea; Valvatida; Asterinidae. The transcript has 2 exons. The record is from RefSeq and is a predicted model, not a curated record.